This 442-nucleotide ribosomal RNA is filed under the name Bifidobacterium dentium. RNAcentral describes it as "bacterial SSU rRNA". It matches the Rfam family "Bacterial small subunit ribosomal RNA", at positions 28 to 478 of the family's 1533-position model. The record is from RNAcentral. Lineage: Bacteria; Bacillati; Actinomycetota; Actinomycetes; Bifidobacteriales; Bifidobacteriaceae.
GAUGAACGCUGGCGGCGUGCUUAACACAUGCAAGUCGAACGGGAUCCCGGGGGUUCGCUCCCGGGUGAGAGUGGCGAACGGGUGAGUAAUGCGUGACCGACCUGCCCCAUACACCGGAAUAGCUCCUGGAAACGGGUGGUAAUGCCGGAUGCUCCGGUUGGAUGCAUGUCCUUCCGGGAAAGAUUCUAUCGGUAUGGGAUGGGGUCGCGUCCUAUCAGCUUGAUGGCGGGGUAACGGCCCACCAUGGCUUCGACGGGUAGCCGGCCUGAGAGGGCGACCGGCCACAUUGGGACUGAGAUACGGCCCAGACUCCUACGGGAGGCAGCAGUGGGGAAUAUUGCACAAUGGGCGCAAGCCUGAUGCAGCGACGCCGCGUGCGGGAUGGAGGCCUUCGGGUUGUAAACCGCUUUUGAUCGGGAGCAAGCCCUUCGGGGUGAGUUAC